RNAcentral lists this unclassified non-coding RNA (337 nucleotides) under soil metagenome. Its description in RNAcentral is "partial contains 5.8S ribosomal RNA, internal transcribed spacer 2, and large subunit ribosomal RNA". The stretch from base 1 to 120 matches the Rfam family "5.8S ribosomal RNA", at positions 35 to 154 of the family's 154-position model. The record is from RNAcentral.
GAUGAAGAACGUAGCGAAAUGCGAUAAGUAGUGUGAAUUGCAGAAUUCAGUGAAUCAUCGAAUCUCUGAACGCACAUUGCGCCCCAUGGUAUUCCGUGGGGCAUGCCUGUUCGAGCGUCAUUUACCCCCUCAAGCUCCGCUUGGUGUUGGGCGUCUGUCCCGCUUCGCGCGCGGACUCGCCCCAAAGGUAUUGGCAGCGGUCGUGCCAGCUUCUCGCGCAGCACAUUGCGCUUCUCGAGGCACCGGUGGGCCCGCGUCCAUCAAGCUCACCCCCCCAGUUUGACCUCGGAUCAGGUAGGGAUACCCGCUGAACUUAAGCAUAUCAAUAAGCGGAGGA